Long non-coding RNA from Osmia bicornis bicornis, 1256 nucleotides. RefSeq lists it as uncharacterized. NCBI's taxonomy places the organism in Eukaryota, Metazoa, Arthropoda, Insecta, Hymenoptera, Megachilidae. The record is from RefSeq and is a predicted model, not a curated record. The transcript has 3 exons.
AUUUAUUCCUGGGUACUGAUCCGUCAGAAUCAUACCAAUUUCAUUGCUAUCCGAUACGUUUUUAACGAGUUUUAUAAAGUCGUAUGCGUAUCUUGUAAAAUGGUCGACCAGGAGAUGCAAGUAUUUUUUUGUUGAUCUGGAUCCUCCAAAACCUCCCACCGUAUCUAUGGAGACUAUGUCAAAAGGAUCCGCAGUCGAACCCAAAUAAGAUAUUAAGCCGAAAUUUUGUUGACCUCUCGAUUUAUUUCUUAAGCAGAUUUCACAGUGUUGGAUAACCAACGCCACUAAUCAUAACACAAACACUAUAGAUUCAUCCUCAGCCAAACAUCCUAAACCACGAUUCCUAAUCUUUACUCAUCCUGCACUUCGUUCCUUUCCUUAGUCACACUGUUCCUUGACAUCUCCCCUAUUCCUGAUUCAUCCUGCACUUCGUACCCUGACCAUCGUCCCUAUCCCUUACUCAUCCUGCACUUUGUACCUUUCCGUAGUCACACUGUUCCUCGACUUAAUAUAUAGGCGGGACAAAUUGUAUACUUUAAAUGUUAAUAGCUUUUUUGCUACGCACUAGCAGCCAACGCAAAUGAUGAGAAAUAAAAACAAGCGGCGACGACAAAACACUAACGAAACCAAACUAAAAGUGGUGGGAUAGAGGAGAAGAAGUGAGGGAAGGAAAUGAGAGAAACAAACUUUCGCACUUUAACGAUACGGAAACCGUUAAUGUGCAUAUUACCUAGGUAAAGUGCGAAAAGCUCUUGAUUCCGCACAUUAACGGAGCAAAUCAGUUAAUCUGCAGAUUAACUAGGUAAUGUGCACAUUAACAGCUUUCGCACUUUAGCGGUAACACAUACAUAGAGUAAUCGUUAUAAAGUAGUAUUUAUCUCAUUACAUCAAGAAGAAGAGCACAUAAUCGAGACCCAUCAAUAAACAAUAUCUGUUCACACAUUGAUGGGGAAAUUACAACCAAAAAAUUAUAGAGCAGAAAAAUUGAAUAGAUACAUUAAGGAAAUUAACCAGCGUAGAAUGAAAUACUAGGACAAAUAUCAAAAAUGUACUCUGAAAAUACAUGCAGUUACUUUCUCGCAAGAUAUAUCUGAAAAUAUAUUUAAGCAUUUAUUCAGACAUUGAUGAGGAAAUUACAACAAAGAAUUUAUGGAGUAGAAAAAUUUGAUACAUACAGUGAACAAAUUAUCCAAGGAAGAGGAUUAUUAAAUUAGAUAAGUUUGUCUUCCAAAUCAUGGACUAUAAAAACAAUGUAA